CGAAUAGAAGCCCGCUGGUUAGGGCAGUUAGCUGUUAAUUAAUUUGUCGGUGGGAUCGAGGCCCGCCUAUUCAG
This 74-nucleotide transfer RNA is filed under the name Anolis pulchellus. RNAcentral describes it as "tRNA-Asx". It matches the Rfam family "tRNA". Rfam says of the family: Transfer RNA (tRNA) molecules are approximately 80 nucleotides in length. Their secondary structure includes four short double-helical elements and three loops (D, anti-codon, and T loops). Further hydrogen bonds mediate the characteristic L-shaped molecular structure. tRNAs have two regions of fundamental functional importance: the anti-codon, which is responsible for specific mRNA codon recognition, and the 3' end, to which the tRNAs corresponding amino acid is attached (by aminoacyl-tRNA synthetases). tRNAs cope with the degeneracy of the genetic code in two manners: having more than one tRNA (with a specific anti-codon) for a particular amino acid; and 'wobble' base-pairing, i.e. permitting non-standard base-pairing at the 3rd anti-codon position. The record is from RNAcentral. Lineage: Eukaryota; Metazoa; Chordata; Lepidosauria; Squamata; Anolidae.